Portunus trituberculatus (swimming crab) is the source of this 429-nucleotide long non-coding RNA. RefSeq lists it as uncharacterized. The transcript has 4 exons. Lineage: Eukaryota; Metazoa; Arthropoda; Malacostraca; Decapoda; Portunidae. The record is from RefSeq and is a predicted model, not a curated record.
CGUGAACACAUGUUUGUAGUGGCGCUGUUGACGGACCGGGGACUGAUAUUUUCUCCAAUUUAUUGAGACUGAGGGUUGAUAUAGUUCCGUUGUGGUGUCUGUGACUUCAUGGUGUGAAAGGGCUUGGCAGGACCGAGUGGUGAGCUGCUGGCAGGAACAGCAAGCCUCAGAACGGUUGAAGGGGAAGGAGACAAAAAUAUACGAGGAUAUUAAUAAUUCAGGAGGUGGCUGAGACGAGACGCAGGCCGCAGGUGUUUUGACUGGUGUGCCGCAGCGCAGGUGACACUCCCACUUGUCUUUGGAGGUGAAAUUCUGGAAGGCGGAAGAAAAAUGGAAACAGCGAAUCUCCAAAGACUGAGUUAAUAGGACGACUGUGGCUACACAAGACAGACAGCGGCGCAACGGUGCUACCCACCCUCCCACUCCCAG